GACGAACGCUGGCGGCGUGCCUAACACAUGCAAGUCGAACGCGAAAGGGGGCUUCGGCUCCUAAGUAGAGUGGCGUCCGGGUGAGUAACACGUAGGUAAUCUGCCUUCGGGUGGGGAAUAACCAGUCGAAAGAUUGGCUAAUACCGCAUAAUGCAGCGGCACCUAAUGGUGAUUAGUUGUUAAAGCGGGGGAUCGUAAGACCUCGCGCCUGAAGAGGAGCCUGCGGCAGAUUAGCUAGUUGGUGAGGUAAUGGCUCACCAAGGCUUCGAUCUGUAGCUGGUCUGAGAGGACGGCCAGCCACACUGGCACUGACACACGGGCCAGACUCCUACGGGAGGCAGCAGUGGGGAAUUUUGGGCAAUGGGCGAAAGCCUGACCCAGCAACGCCGCGUGAGGGAGGAAAUCCUUCGGGAUGUAAACCUCACAAGCAAGGGAAGAGAGCUCAGGGCCGAAUAAGCUUUGAGUCCGACGGUACCUUGCGUAAGCC
RNAcentral lists this ribosomal RNA (487 nucleotides) under uncultured bacterium. RNAcentral describes it as "bacterial SSU rRNA". It matches the Rfam family "Bacterial small subunit ribosomal RNA", at positions 28 to 492 of the family's 1533-position model. The record is from RNAcentral.